UUGGCCGGGCGACGGUUGUCCCGGUUUAAGCGUGUAGGCUGGUUUUCCAGGCAAAUCCGGAAAAUCAAGGCUGAGGCGUGAUGACGAGGCACUACGGUGCUGAAGCAACAAAUGCCCUGCUUCCAGGAAAAGCCUCUAAGCAUCAGGUAACAUCAAAUCGUACCCCAAACCGACACAGGUGGUCAGGUAGAGAAUACCAAGGCGCUUGAGAGAACUCGGGUGAAGGAACUAGGCAAAAUGGUGCCGUAACUUCGGGAGAAGGCACGCUGAUAUGUAGGUGAAGUCCCUCGCGGAUGGAGCUGAAAUCAGUCGAAGAUACCAGCUGGCUGCAACUGUUUAUUAAAAACACAGCACUGUGCAAACACGAAAGUGGACGUAUACGGUGUGACGCCUGCCCGGUGCCGGAAGGUUAAUUGAUGGGGUUAGCGGUAACGCGAAGCUCUUGAUCGAAGCCCCGGUAAACGGCGGCCGUAACUAUAACGGUCCUAAGGUAGCGAAAUUCCUUGUCGGGUAAGUUCCGACCUGCACGAAUGGCGUAAUGAUGGCCAGGCUGUCUCCACCCGAGACUCAGUGAAAUUGAACUCGCUGUGAAGAUGCAGUGUACCCGCGGCAAGACGGAAAGACCCCGUGAACCUUUACUAUAGCUUGACACUGAACAUUGAGCCUUGAUGUGUAGGAUAGGUGGGAGGCUUUGAAGUGUGGACGCCAGUCUGCAUGGAGCCGGCCUUGAAAUACCACCCUUUAAUGUUUGAUGUUCUAACGUUGGCCCCUGACCGGGGUUGCGGACAGUGUCUGGUGGGUAGUUUGACUGGGGCGGUCUCCUCCUAAAGAGUAACGGAGGAGCACGAAGGUUGGCUAAUCCUGGUCGGACAUCAGGAGGUUAGUGCAAUGGCAUAAGCCAGCUUGACUGCGAGCGUGACGGCGCGAGCAGGUGCGAAAGCAGGUCAUAGUGAUCCGGUGGUUCUGAAUGGAAGGGCCAUCGCUCAACGGAUAAAAGGUACUCCGGGGAUAACAGGCUGAUACCGCCCAAGAGUUCAUAUCGACGGCGGUGUUUGGCACCUCGAUGUCGGCUCAUCACAUCCUGGGGCUGAAGUAGGUCCCAAGGGUAUGGCUGUUCGCCAUUUAAAGUGGUACGCGAGCUGGGUUUAGAACGUCGUGAGACAGUUCGGUCCCUAUCUGCCGUGGGCGCUGGAGAACUGAGGGGGGCUGCUCCUAGUACGAGAGGACCGGAGUGGACGCAUCACUGGUGUUCGGGUUGUCAUGCCAAUGGCACUGCCCGGUAGCUAAAUGCGGAAGAGAUAAGUGCUGAAAGCAUCUAAGCACGAAACUUGCCCCGAGAUGAGUUCUCCCUGACUCCUUGAGAGUCCUGAAGGAACGUUGAAGACGACGACGUUGAUAGGCCGGGUGUGUAAGCGCAGCGAUGCGUUGAGCUAACCGGUACUAAUGAACCGUGAGG
This 1456-nucleotide ribosomal RNA is filed under the name Escherichia coli. RNAcentral describes it as "partial 23S ribosomal RNA". It matches the Rfam family "Bacterial large subunit ribosomal RNA", at positions 1487 to 2916 of the family's 2925-position model. Lineage: Bacteria; Pseudomonadati; Pseudomonadota; Gammaproteobacteria; Enterobacterales; Enterobacteriaceae. The record is from RNAcentral.